AUGUCAAUCGUGUAUUGGGGUGCAGCUCAUGGUAAAAGGAAAGAUUGGAGAAGUUGGGAUAAGUUAUUGCAACCAAAGAAUAAGGGUGGUGCUGGAUUCCAGGACUUCCGGUUGUUUAACCAAGCUUUACUAGCCCGACAAGCUUGGAGAUUAAUUUCCAACCCGGAUAGUUUGUGUGCCCAUGUGCUCAAAGCAAGAUAUUAUCCUAAUGGAAGACUAGAAGAUACAAUUGUUGCGGGUAAUGCGUCGUCCUCAUGGCAAGCUAUAAGCUAUGAUCUGGAAUUACUAAAAAAGGGGCUGGUAUGGAGAGUUGGUAACGGAAAAGGUAUUCGGAUCUGGAGAGAUAGUUGGAUUCCGAGGCCUCACUCAUAUAAACCCUUCUCCCCACAAGGUAGAUGCAGGAUCGGAUUUUUCUCAGGCAUAUUGAACGAGAAUGGCUCUUGGAAUUAUGCGUUGCUGAUGAAGUUUUUUGCCAUGGCCGAUGUAUCCGAGAUUAUGAAAAUCAAGGCUUCACCAAGUUCAGAGGAUGUGUUAGCUUGGGCGCCUGGAAAGUUUGGUCAGUUUUCUGUCAAAAGUGCUUACGAUUUGGCCUUCGAAGAGGCUCACAGAGAAAGUGUUGUAUCCUCAAAUAGUAUGCUAUCUGGGGCGCGCCCUUGUUGGAGCUAUAUUUGGUCUUGCGAAAUUCCACCCACGGUUCGCAACUUUGGGUGGAGCGUGGCGACUAACUCUCUACCUACUUGGCAGAGGAAGAACAGAAUUGGGAUUGAAACUACUGGAGUUUGCCCAAUAUGUGCAAGAGAAGUCGAGGAUACUUUCCAUCCUUUCAUGGUAUGCCCCGUGGGUCGGCAACUUUACAAAAAGAUGGCAACGGUGUGGAGUUUACCAGAUUUGCAUUCUGUGGUGAACUCUGGGAAAGAAUGGCUCCUUCAGGCUUUGGAACCGUUGGAUCACCUUGCAAGAUGCAAGCUACUAAUGACCCUGUGGAGAUUCUGGUAUGUCCGUAAUGAAAUUAUACACAAUAAACCAACCCCUCCACUUGAUGUCUCUGCUCGAUUUCUUCAGAGUUAUUUGGAUUCAAUUAUUGGUCUCAAACUGAAUUCGGAGGCUGACCCACGCAAAGGAAAAACUAUUAUCACAUAUAACUCAGAUGCCGAUACCUGUUGUGUCCCGGUCGCUGUACCCUGCUGGCAACCUCCUACCCAUGGAAAUGUUAAGCUGAAUACAGAUGGAUCAUUUGUGUCAAUUGGAGAUGCUGGUGCGGGUAUGAUCCUGAGGAAUGAGACAGGAGCUAUUAUCUUUUUGGCAUGCAGGAAAUUACAUUCUUGUCAAGAUGCGUUGGAAGCAGAACUCUAUGCGUGCAAGGAGGGCCUCUCGAUUGCUGUGCAGAGGUGCAAUUCACCUAUUACCAUUGAGAUGGAUUCACUCAAUGUGGUGAACAUGAUCCGUAGUAAGAUGGACGAUCGCUCUAUCUAAGCUCACCUGGUGCAAGGGAUAAAACAGUUAGCUGGUACUGUUAGUGCUUGUAUUACUCACGUCCCCUGCUCUUGUAAUAAAGCUAGUGAUAGGCUGGCCUCUUACGCCAGGACUAGCAAUAGAACGGUGACUUGGUUGGGGUCAGGACCGCUUGAGGUCCCGGACAUUGUUAGUGAGGAUUGUAAAGACAUUAUAUUUGAGUAA
This 1677-nucleotide ribosomal RNA is filed under the name Triticum aestivum (bread wheat). RNAcentral describes it as "partial small subunit ribosomal RNA". Lineage: Eukaryota; Viridiplantae; Streptophyta; Magnoliopsida; Poales; Poaceae. The record is from RNAcentral.